AUGUUUUUUCCUCAUUUUUAAUUUGUAGUUUUACAACAGUUUGGCUCACAGAUCAACUUCAGGUCCACAUAUCCUCACUGCUUUUUCCCCACUUCCACGCCUAUAGCAGAGGAACCUAAUAAUGGAACUGAACUAUGAAAAAAGUUUGAAUUAUUGUUAAGAGAAUAAAUUUUAAGUAGAAAAAAACUGUUUUUUAUGGAAUGAUGAUGGUAAUUUAUUUUCCAGAUGUCAUUGCAGCCAAAGAACCAAGUAGGUGAUGGAGCUUGUGGAAAAUGGAUAUAUGUACAAGAACAUGUGAUAGAAUAUAUGAAUAUCCUGGCCAGCUAGCUACGUUAGUUUUCUCCCUUUCCUGGCAAGUGGCAACAGACCAGUUCCAUAGCACCUUCGUUGGGUGGUGAGGUUGAGAUGUCGCGCGGCAGAGUAGCCAACCAAGGCCUAUUAUUUUUGCAGUCCUAUUGAGGUCUGGCGACAGGUUCAGACUUUCCAGUCAAGGAAUUUAUGCAUUUCUUCAUGCAACAUACAUCCUGUGGUAUGUCUUUGAUCGUGUAACUUCCUAAUGGUGUCAUCAAAGGCUUGAUGGUGAAGAUAUGAUGCUAAUGAGAUGAAUAUUGGUUUGUUGAUCACGUGAAUAGAAAUUUUCACCUAAGAAUAGCUUUCGAAAACUGAGGUCUUAGGCUUUCCAUUUUACUGUACCCAUCCUUCUCUGUUCGACUCUCGAGCGUAGAGAUAACUGUGAUAUGCAUAUUUUCACAUAAGAAUAGCUUUGGGGCAUUAUGUACUAGAAAAGCAUGCUCCAAGGUUAAUGUAUUCUUCCUACUUUCUAUAAGCAUUUUGGUAUGUGGGAAUAGAACACUGUUUAAUUCUUCAUUGCUUUGGGUUUUCAUAACACGUAAUUACCAUUCACAUAUCAUUUCCUGGCAUUGUCAUUUAUAUGCGC
Non-coding RNA from Lolium perenne, 937 nucleotides. NCBI's taxonomy places the organism in Eukaryota, Viridiplantae, Streptophyta, Magnoliopsida, Poales, Poaceae. The record is from RefSeq and is a predicted model, not a curated record.